RNAcentral lists this ribosomal RNA (1591 nucleotides) under Escherichia coli. Its description in RNAcentral is "bacterial SSU rRNA". It matches the Rfam family "Bacterial small subunit ribosomal RNA". The record is from RNAcentral. Lineage: Bacteria; Pseudomonadati; Pseudomonadota; Gammaproteobacteria; Enterobacterales; Enterobacteriaceae.
AAAUUGAAGAGUUUGAUCAUGGCUCAGAUUGAACGCUGGCGGCAGGCCUAACACAUGCAAGUCGAACGGUAACAGGAAACAGCUUGCUGUUUCGCUGACGAGUGGCGGACGGGUGAGUAANNNNNNNNNNGCUGACGAGUGGCGGACGGGUGAGUAAUGUCUGGGAAACUGCCUGAUGGAGGGGGAUAACUACUGGAAACGGUAGCUAAUACCGCAUAACGUCGCAAGACCAAAGAGGGGGACCUUCGGGCCUCUUGCCAUCGGAUGUGCCCAGAUGGGAUUAGCUAGUAGGUGGGGUAACGGCUCACCUAGGCGACGAUCCCUAGCUGGUCUGAGAGGAUGACCAGCCACACUGGAACUGAGACACGGUCCAGACUCCUACGGGAGGCAGCAGUGGGGAAUAUUGCACAAUGGGCGCAAGCCUGAUGCAGCCAUGCCGCGUGUAUGAAGAAGGCCUUCGGGUUGUAAAGUACUUUCAGCGGGGAGGAAGGGAGUAAAGUUAAUACCUUUGCUCAUUGACGUUACCCGCAGAAGAAGCACCGGCUAACUCCGUGCCAGCAGCCGCGGUAAUACGGAGGGUGCAAGCGUUAAUCGGAAUUACUGGGCGUAAAGCGCACGCAGGCGGUUUGUUAAGUCAGAUGUGAAAUCCCCGGGCUCAACCUGGGAACUGCAUCUGAUACUGGCAAGCUUGAGUCUCGUAGAGGGGGGUAGAAUUCCAGGUGUAGCGGUGAAAUGCGUAGAGAUCUGGAGGAAUACCGGUGGCGAAGGCGGCCCCCUGGACGAAGACUGACGCUCAGGUGCGAAAGCGUGGGGAGCAAACAGGAUUAGAUACCCUGGUAGUCCACGCCGUAAACGAUGUCGACUUGGAGGUUGUGCCCUUGAGGCGUGGCUUCCGGAGCUAACGCGUUAAGUCGACCGCCUGGGGAGUACGGCCGCAAGGUUAAAACUCAAAUGAAUUGACGGGGGCCCGCACAAGCGGUGGAGCAUGUGGUUUAAUUCGAUGCAACGCGAAGAACCUUACCUGGUCUUGACAUCCACGGAAGUUUUCAGAGAUGAGAAUGUGCCUUCGGGAACCGUGAGACAGGUGCUGCAUGGCUGUCGUCAGCUCGUGUUGUGAAAUGUUGGGUUAAGUCCCGCAACGAGCGCAACCCUUAUCCUUUGUUGCCAGCGGUCCGGCCGGGAACUCAAAGGAGACUGCCAGUGAUAAACUGGAGGAAGGUGGGGAUGACGUCAAGUCAUCAUGGCCCUUACGACCAGGGCUACACACGUGCUACAAUGGCGCAUACAAAGAGAAGCGACCUCGCGAGAGCAAGCGGACCUCAUAAAGUGCGUCGUAGUCCGGAUUGGAGUCUGCAACUCGACUCCAUGAAGUCGGAAUCGCUAGUAAUCGUGGAUCAGAAUGCCACGGUGAAUACGUUCCCGGGCCUUGUACACACCGCCCGUCACACCAUGGGAGUGGGUUGCAAAAGAAGUAGGUAGCUUAACCUUCGGGAGGGCGCUUACCACUUUGUGAUUCAUGACUGGGGUGAAGUCGUAACAAGGUAACCGUAGGGGAACCUGCGGUUGGAUCACCUCCUUACCUUAAAGAAGC